GUCUAAACCAUGACCCAUAUUCUUAUGAGUGAUUUAGUUCAGUAGACAUUCAGCUAGUUGUUCCACAUGUACCAAUCACCGCAAUGAAAGUCUACACUCUGUGUUUUGUUAUUGUCUUCUUGGCUGUUUGCGUAGUCUUCACACAAGGGAAGCCCUACGAGACCUUCCUAAAACGUCAGAUGUGUACAAACGAUUGUAUAAGUCCAUGCCUCGCCAUGCUGUGUGCUCCAGCCACACGUUGUGAAACUGAUUGCACAACAUGCACAGGAUACUGUAGACUUAUUAUCAAUUCAUGAUACCACUGCAAUAUAGCGGUCAGUUCCUGAGAUAUUGUAUGGAAAUGGUUUACCAAAUAAAUUAAGCUCACUUUUUAGCCUGUACAGCAAUAAAAUACGCUCACAAAGAA
Molecule: long non-coding RNA, 406 nt
Organism: Biomphalaria glabrata
Lineage: Eukaryota; Metazoa; Mollusca; Gastropoda; Planorbidae
Exons: 3
Source: RefSeq, a predicted model, not a curated record